AUACAUGCAAGUCGAGCGGACAGAAGGGAGCUUGCUCCCGGAUGUUAGCGGCGGACGGGUGAGUAACACGUGGGUAACCUGCCUGUAAGACUGGGAUAACUCCGGGAAACCGGAGCUAAUACCGGAUAGUUCCUUGAACCGCAUGGUUCAAGGAUGAAAGACGGUUUCGGCUGUCACUUACAGAUGGACCCGCGGCGCAUUAGCUAGUUGGUGGGGUAAUGGCUCACCAAGGCGACGAUGCGUAGCCGACCUGAGAGGGUGAUCGGCCACACUGGGACUGAAACACGGCCCAAACUCCUACGGGAGGCAGCAGUAGGGAAUCUUCCGCAAUGGACGAAAGUCUGACGGAGCAACGCCGCGUGAGUGAUGAAGGUUUUCGGAUCGUAAAGCUCUGUUGUUAGGGAAGAACAAGUGCGAGAGUAACUGCUCGCACCUUGACGGUACCUAACCAGAAAGCCACGGCUAACUACGUGCCAGCAGCCGCGGUAAUACGUAGGUGGCAAGCGUUGUCCGGAAUUAUUGGGCGUAAAGGGCUCGCAGGCGGUUUCUUAAGUCUGAUGUGAAAGCCCCCGGCUCAACCGGGGAGGGUCAUUGGAAACUGGGAAACUUGAGUGCAGAAGAGGAGAGUGGAAUUCCACGUGUAGCGGUGAAAUGCGUAGAGAUGUGGAGGAACACCAGUGGCGAAGGCGACUCUCUGGUCUGUAACUGACGCUGAGGAGCGAAAGCGUGGGGAGCGAACAGGAUUAGAUACCCUGGUAGUCCACGCCGUAAACGAUGAGUGCUAAGUGUUAGGGGGUUUCCGCCCCUUAGUGCUGCAGCUAACGCAUUAAGCACUCCGCCUGGGGAGUACGGUCGCAAGACUGAAACUCAAAGGAAUUGACGGGGGCCCGCACAAGCGGUGGAGCAUGUGGUUUAAUUCGAAGCAACGCGAAGAACCUUACCAGGUCUUGACAUCCUCUGACAACCCUAGAGAUAGGGCUUUCCCUUCGGGGACAGAGUGACAGGUGGUGCAUGGUUGUCGUCAGCUCGUGUCGUGAGAUGUUGGGUUAAGUCCCGCAACGAGCGCAACCCUUGAUCUUAGUUGCCAGCAUUUAGUUGGGCACUCUAAGGUGACUGCCGGUGACAAACCGGAGGAAGGUGGGGAUGACGUCAAAUCAUCAUGCCCCUUAUGACCUGGGCUACACACGUGCUACAAUGGACAGAACAAAGGGCUGCGAGACCGCAAGGUUUAGCCAAUCCCAUAAAUCUGUUCUCAGUUCGGAUCGCAGUCUGCAACUCGACUGCGUGAAGCUGGAAUCGCUAGUAAUCGCGGAUCAGCAUGCCGCGGUGAAUACGUUCCCGGGCCUUGUACACACCGCCCGUCACACCACGAGAGUUUGCAACACCCGAAGUCGGUGAGGUAACCUUUAUGGAGCCAGCCGCCGAAGGUGGGAC
This 1434-nucleotide ribosomal RNA is filed under the name Bacillus pumilus. RNAcentral describes it as "bacterial SSU rRNA". It matches the Rfam family "Bacterial small subunit ribosomal RNA". Lineage: Bacteria; Bacillati; Bacillota; Bacilli; Caryophanales; Bacillaceae. The record is from RNAcentral.